GGGGCCGAUUAGGAUUCGACGCCGGUAGCGAAGCUCGAGGUGCAUGCCGACUUGGUAACAGAAGUCGUAAAUCAACUGUUGCAACUUUCUAUAGUUGCCAAUGACGAAAACUACGAGGGCUACGCUCUCGCUGCGUAAGCGGCGCGACUAGUCCUUCUGGUAGCUUCGGCUCCAGCGAUCACUAGGGGAUGCCUGUAAACCUGAAGUGAUUGUCAUGCAGAACAGGAUCGCCGCGUAGUACGUUGUGGACGAAGUGGCUAAAACUUACACAACUCGCCCAAUGCACCCUGCCCGUCGGGCGGCUGAGGG
The sequence is a transfer-messenger RNA, 309 nucleotides long. It matches the Rfam family "transfer-messenger RNA", at positions 1 to 289 of the family's 374-position model. Rfam says of the family: Bacterial tmRNA, also known as 10Sa RNA or SsrA, is named for its dual tRNA and mRNA-like properties. Its role is to liberate the mRNA from a stalled ribosome. To accomplish this part of the tmRNA is used as a reading frame that ends in a translation stop signal.